This is a long non-coding RNA of Notolabrus celidotus (New Zealand spotty), 1957 nucleotides long. RefSeq lists it as uncharacterized. The transcript is spliced from 3 exons. Lineage: Eukaryota; Metazoa; Chordata; Actinopteri; Labriformes; Labridae. The record is from RefSeq and is a predicted model, not a curated record.
UGUGCCGAUUAUAUCGUGCAUCCCUAAUUAAACGUAUUCAGAGUGAACUACUAUGAAAAAUUUGGGAAAAUCACUUUUACAUGAAAUCACAAUCCAGUCACAAACUGGUGAAACAUUUUAACCUUUAGUUCCUACUUGGUUGCAGGGGAGCUUCUUCCUGCCUUCAUUGAGCAAAAUGGGGGUCUGGCAUGCUGUUCAUGCAUGAUGCAGUAAGAACCGGUUAACAUAAACAGAAUUGAAUUGAACAGCUAGGCCAAGGCCCUAUGUUUAUAAUACCUGAUCCAUCUUUUUUAGCCAGUAUCAGGUCGGUGCAUCCCUUACUUUAAUUUAAGCUUACUGAAUAUAAAAACUUGGCUGUAAUGCAAUAGCUAAGUUGUUCAAAGAGGCUGUUAUUAUCCGUACUGUAUGUUUUAUGUUCUGCUUGCACAAACAGAUUUGUUAAUAAAGUUUAUCAGUACAAAUGCUCCGCAGACCAUUCAAACAUGGCUGCAGACUACAGCUAGCUUCUGUCAUAGAGUCACCCCCGUCAGGUGUUGCCCUCUGCCUCUCCUCUGUCUGUCUUACUCCCUCUCUUCAGCCCUCUCAGUACAUUCUGCUGCCUUCUCAGUCUCUGCAGUCCCUUCUUGUUUUGUCCCGUCUAUGGUUGAUUGUAACAGACUGACUGUUGUUGUCUCCUGAAGGGGGGCACAUAGUACAGUUAACCUCCCAGGCCCCAGGAACCCAGGUCCUCCUCCCUCACAUCUCUCCCCUCCUUCGCCAGCGGCGUGACAGACACCUGAGGGGCCCGGCACAUCACUUGAAAAGGACAGAAGUCGCUGAGACACAGAGGACUACAAGUUAAGAGGAGUAAGCUACAGUUCAACCAGUUUCUCAACCAUUAUCACCUGAGAGGAAAAAAUUGAUGGCAACAAUUUGGUGAGUGAGGAUUGAUAUAUCAGUGCUAUGCUUUUAAUAAGUGAAAAUGACUCAUUUAAAAGUCCUACUUAUACUACAAGAGGACCUUUAGUUCUCUCUUAACUUGCUUAAAAGUUGAAGAGGACAAGCUUCAUAUUUAAACAAAUGUGGUGACCAAAAUAAAACUGGAGUUCUGUGCAUUUAGACAUUUUCUGUCAUGCUCUAGACUUUAGACUUUAGACUUUUAGACUUUAUUGUCCCCUUGGGGAAAUUCUUUUCAACAGCACCUUUCUGCAUUUCCACAGACAUAGACAAUCACAAGAACAUACACUGUAAGCUCAACAAACUAAAGUCGUAUCAUUCAGUGAGGCCUUUCGUUCAGGCUCGCUAUAACAGCAGGGAUCAGGCUCUUGCCAAGGCGAGCCCUUCUGCACCUCAGUGUUCUGUACCUGCCUCCUGAGGGGAGUGGGAUGAGGUGGGUGUUUAGUGAAUGUGUGAUGUCCUGUUGUAUUGAGGUUGUAUGAUGGCCCUGUUGUUUAAGUCUGUGAGGUUUGGUGUGGGGAGACCGAUUAUUUUAGAGGCUGUGGUGGUUAUGCGUGUGUGUUUGGCCUUGUUUUUAACAGAUAACAUGUUGUAGAAGCAACCCAAACUAACACAUAAGAAAAUGUGUACAUUUUGUAUUAACAAUUAGAGUAAGGUAAUUUCUAGCUCACUUUAACAUGAGGAGCACAGUCAAGUUUACAGAGUUGGCGGUUAGAAUUGGACAGGAAAAAUGACAGCAUGCUGAAUGAUUUAUGCCAGAGGUUCACCUUUGUGACCUUUCUGAUUUUAACAGAAUAGAUGGGGAGAGUCCUCAGCAGUCUUUAAAGGUAAAUAGAGAAGUGUCAGUCAUGAUACAUACAAAGAAAAGAAUACAAGAAUCUAUAGAAAUGACCGGAAGUAUUUGCUUUCAAUAAUUCCACUUAACUCAAUGUUGUUUUCAAUGUUGCAGGAGACCGAUCAUUUUUGCCAUGCCACAGAUUUUUGUAUACAAACUCUUCAAUAAAAGGCAAUAAAACAUGUA